CAUUGUCUUGACAGAAGCCCACCUGAGCAGCAAGACCAAACCCCACCUUGUGUCUAUUCUGUCAUCACAAAGCUGUCUAGGGAUGAGGAAGAGGACAGUAGUCUGCAAUACGCUACAGUGACAUAUACCAGUGACCGAGCUAGUCUUCAAUAUGCAACAGUGACAUCUACCGGUAACCAAGUUGGACCUGGG
Non-coding RNA from Salmo salar (Atlantic salmon), 192 nucleotides. NCBI's taxonomy places the organism in Eukaryota, Metazoa, Chordata, Actinopteri, Salmoniformes, Salmonidae. The record is from RefSeq and is a predicted model, not a curated record.